Molecule: ribosomal RNA, 433 nt
Filed under: uncultured bacterium
Lineage: Bacteria
Description: partial 16S ribosomal RNA
Rfam family: Bacterial small subunit ribosomal RNA
Source: RNAcentral
AACGAACGCUGGCGGCAUGCCUAACACAUGCAAGUCGAACGAGACCUUCGGGUCUAGUGGCGCACGGGUGCGUAACGCGUGGGAACCUGCCCUUAGGUUCGGAAUAACUCCCCGAAAGGGGUGCUAAUACCGGAUAAUGUCUUCGGACCAAAGAUUUAUCGCCUUUGGAUGGGCCCGCGUUGGAUUAGCUAGUUGGUAGGGUAAAAGCCUACCAAGGCGACGAUCCAUAGCUGGUCUGAGAGGAUGAUCAGCCACACUGGGACUGAGACACGGCCCAGACUCCUACGGGAGGCAGCAGUGGGGAAUAUUGGACAAUGGGCGAAAGCCUGAUGCAGCAAUGCCGCGUGAGUGAUGAAGGCCUUAGGGUUGUAAAGCUCUUUUACCCGGGAUGAUAAUGACAGUACCGGGAGAAUAAGCACCGGCUAACUCCGUG